This 84-nucleotide microRNA precursor is filed under the name Pan troglodytes (chimpanzee). RNAcentral describes it as "mir-25 microRNA precursor family". It matches the Rfam family "mir-25 microRNA precursor family". Lineage: Eukaryota; Metazoa; Chordata; Mammalia; Primates; Hominidae. The record is from Rfam by way of RNAcentral.
GGCCAGUGUUGAGAGGCGGAGACUUGGGCAAUUGCUGGACGCUGCCCUGGGCAUUGCACUUGUCUCGGCUGAGACGCGCCCGCC